This 468-nucleotide ribosomal RNA is filed under the name uncultured bacterium. RNAcentral describes it as "partial 16S ribosomal RNA". It matches the Rfam family "Bacterial small subunit ribosomal RNA", at positions 28 to 507 of the family's 1533-position model. The record is from RNAcentral.
AACGAACGCUGGCGGCGUGCUUAACACAUGCAAGUCGAACGGAAAGGCCGUGCUUUUGUGGGGUGCUCGAGGGGCGAACGGGUGAGUAACACGUGAGUAACCUGCCCUUGACUGUGGGAUAAGUUCAGGAAACUGGGGCUAAUACCGGAUAGGAGCUCCUGCUGCAUGGUGGGGGUUGGAUAGUUUAGGCGGUUGGGGAUGGACUCGCGGCUUAUCAGCUUGUUGGUUGGGUAGUGUCUUACCAAGGCUUGGACGGGUAGCCGGCCUGGGAGGGUGACCGGACCCAUGAGGCUUGAGAUGCGGCCCAGCCUCGAAUGCUACGCAACGGAGGGGAGUAUUGCACAAUACGCGGGAGGCUGAUGCGACCACGCCGCGUGGGGUAUGACGGCCUUGGGGUAGUGAACCACAGUCGCCUGUGACGAGGCGUUAGUGACGGUACCGGGAAAAUAAGCACCGGCUAACUACGUG